GGCAGUGUAGUAUAAUGGGGUAAGGCGUUGGUCUUGUAACCUGAAGGUCACAGGUUCGAAUUCCCCGGUACGACACUGCCG
Molecule: transfer RNA, 81 nt
Filed under: Anguilla anguilla (European eel)
Lineage: Eukaryota; Metazoa; Chordata; Actinopteri; Anguilliformes; Anguillidae
Description: tRNA-OTHER
Source: RNAcentral